This 235-nucleotide ribosomal RNA is filed under the name uncultured Funneliformis. RNAcentral describes it as "partial small subunit ribosomal RNA". It matches the Rfam family "Eukaryotic small subunit ribosomal RNA", at positions 629 to 864 of the family's 1831-position model. The record is from RNAcentral. Lineage: Eukaryota; Fungi; Glomeromycota; Glomeromycetes; Glomerales; Glomeraceae.
AAGCCGUAGUGAAUUUCGGGAUCAAUAUUUCGGUCAUGCCGUUGGUAUGCACUGUUAUCAUUGAUUUCUCACCUUCUAAAGAACCGUAAUGCCAUUAAUUUGGUGUUACGGGGAAUUAGGACUGUUACCUUGAAAAAAUUAGAGUGUUUAAAGCAGGCUCACGCUUGAAUACAUUAGCAUGGAAUAAUGAAAUAGGACAUCCGAUUCUAUUUUGUUGGUUUCUAGGAUCGACGUA